CGGGCUCAGAGCUCUCCCGGCCAAUGGGGUUGGUCAUAGUGAAUAAAGCGGCCAAUGGUGUUCCUCGAGUGGAGGUUCGUCGGUUGGCAGUUCAGUUAGCUUUGAAAUCGGUUGUGAGGGGUGAGGGAGAAAGGUUGGGACGACGAGUAUCAGCGUUUUAAAUUUAACAUUUUAAGUGAUUAUUUUAUUUUAUUUUAUUGUAAACUGCUUUGAGGUUUCAUUCUCCCUACAAGCAAGUGGUGUGUAUAUAUAUUAUGAAAUGAAUGAAUGAGUAUUUUAUUUCUUAUAUAAAACUCCCUCUCCAUUCUAGUGCCCAUGCAUGAUUCAAGGCAGCUUACAGCAGUUAAAAAAAGUAAAAUUAUAUUAAUACAGGCAACAACCUCAUAAUAAAAAUAUGUAUAAUAUUUAUACAUAAAUAAUAAAAAUAUGUAAAAUAUGCACAGGGAAAACGCCUUUAAUAAUAAAAUGCAUUUAAUAAUAAUAAUACUACUGUAAUAUAUAGUUUAAUAAUAAUAAAUUUAUUUCUUGCUCUUCACCCUAAUGUUUCAGGGCAGGCUGCAACAUUAGAAGCAACAUUUAAAAACAACUUUCAACCAUAAAAGCGAGGUGGGCCCUGAAAACAUACACCUCAAGUAUUAAAAGCUAGGCUAAAGUUCCUCUUUGGCAUUCUCCAAAAGGUGUACAGUGAGGGUGCCAGACGCAUGUUCUUGUUCUUGCAGGUGUUCCGCAGCUUAGGGGCCACCACAGAGAAGGCCCUCAGCCUCUGAGGGUGGAGGAACUACCAAGAGGGCCCCCUCUGCCUAUCUCAGCACCCAGGAAGGUCUGUAGGGAAGGAAGCGGGUUUUUCAGAUGUUUGGGUCCCCGAGUUGUAGGGCUUUAAACACCAAUGUGAACACUUUGAAUUGGGCCCGGAACCGAACUGGCAACCAAUGCAGCUGUUUCAAAACGGGUUACACGAGCUCUAAAUGGAACCCCAGCCAGCAGUCUGGCUGCUGUGUUUUGGACCAACUGAAGUUUCUGAGUCAUCUUCCAAGAGCAGCCCCAGGGAGAGUGCAUUGCAGUGACCAGUUUGGAAGUUACCAGAACCUGGAAGCUGGUGAAAAAAAGGCACUCUGAGCAACACACACACACACACACACACACACAGCGAGAGAGAGCGCAACAUUGGCUGAGAUUAUUGAUAACAAUGCCUUUCGCAGAUCAGCUAUAGAAAGCAAAAUCCUGCUGGAAUAAAUCUAUCAGCUGGGAAAAAAGAGCUAUUGUGAUGGGAGGGAGCUGAGACCUGGCGUUGGAGCCAAUUAAGUUCUACUCAGAGUAAACCCAUUUAAAUUAAGGGACCCGAGUUAUAGUCAUGCCCAUUAAUUUCAGUGGUUCUGCUUUGAUUAUUACUAACGUGGGAUGCAAACCUGAAAUGCAUUUAAAAUAUGUGUUAAAUAAUUCUUAUUUGAGGGUAGGUGCAGAGCCUUGAAUACAAAGGAAUCCAAGAACUGAUGAUGUUACACAAUGUUUGGUUUUUCUGAAGGCUGCAAUGUUUAUUUCUUUUACAGUAUUUAUAACCCCCUUCCCUUCAGCAUAAAUAUCUGUUUCCAGAGUGGCUGAAAAAGGAAUACGAUGCAAUAAAAUUUCAGUAAAAAAGCAUAAAAACUGAGGCAACCAACUAAAACAAUAAAUAGUGGUUAAAAGUAUUGAUUAGAAACUUGAAGCCAUUAAUUAAAAAGCUGUAGCAGCUUUAACAUUUUUUAAAAACUAGCUUUCAUACAUACUGAGAUGCAUUUGAAAACAAACAUUUCUGCCCUUGGAGUGUGGAUGGGGAGAAGCCAUCUCUAUGCAGGGUGCACUGAUUAGGUGUUUAUUUGUCAUUCCAGAGCUGAUAUAAAUGAAGCUGAUAGCAUUAACAAGGGAAGGGAUCUUUCUCAGUGAGACUGCAAGUUUUUGUACUUGAUGUUGGGGGAGAGGGGAAAAACCUGGAAGUUCCUGUUGAUGCUUACAAAAUAAAGCAGUGGCAACUUUUGGAAGAUACGAUCCUAAGUGUAUUUAUUCUGCUCAUGCCAAAGGAGCCACAGUAGUUCUAAAAGAUCAUGCAGACACAUCCCGUCCCAUGAGGCUGCAGCAGUGGGAGAGAUGGGGCUAUUACAUCUCUGAUGAAAGAUCAGCUAUUCAGCUCUAAGAACAGGUGUGUGACUAAGCUUCUUCUCCACUUUCCUCCUCAUCACUUUGUUCUUUUGAAUUGAGUCUUUUCAGACUAUAAACCUGUCUUGGAGUGGGACUGUCUUCUUAUAAUUGAUUCUAUGUAAGCUGCGAUGGGAGUCUUUCUAGCUGAAGAGCAGGAUAAAAAUGCUUUAAGUCAGGGUUUCUAUGACUUGGGUCUCUGGCUGUUUUGGACUACCGCUCCCAUCAUCCCUAGCUAGCAGGACCAGUGGUCAGGGAUGAAGGGAACUGUAGUUCAAAAGCAGCUGAGACCCAAGUUUUGAGAAACACUGCUUUAAAUAGAAACUUUGUCCUACAACUCAGGCAGCAAAAAGUCUUGAACUAGCUGCGAUGAAUGUAUAUAAAGAUCCAUAAAGUGAUUUCCAACAACCCACUCCCCCCUUUUUUACAAUUGCUCAAAAUAAUAAAAAACACUUCUGAAAAAACACAACCAAUCAAUGCAAAACGCUUUAGCCAGCAACUUAACAAUUUGCCAAUCUAUUGCAGAUAUAUUGAGAGAAAGGGCACACAGUACUGUAACCACACUGGUUCCUAUUUGUCAAAGCCAGAUCCAUUCCUUCAAUCUGUCGCUGUUUCUCCUCAUCUGAUUUUGACAGGAAGCUAUGUGCUGAGAUAAAGUACUUUUCCCUACCCAUUGGUGCAUUUGGGACAUUUAUUGGAGCAGAAAAUGGCUUGCCAGUCUUUCUGACACUUGUGACUUGUCUUUCUGUUCUGUCCCUUCCUGUUUACAGUAAUUCCUGUGGAAUAGGAGUGUGUAUAUGCGGUGCAUCAACUGGGGAAGGAAAAGAUGGUGGAAGAUUGCAUAGCACAAUCUUAGUUGCACAGUUUUUAAACAUUGACUUCUAAUGAAGGUGAUAUUUUAUUACACUGAUUAUAGUGGUGGUUUCGAAUGUGCUGACUAUGGACUAUGACAGGGAAGAGGUGUUUGUUCCAUUAGUUUCCUCCUCCCUUUCCCUCUCUCCCCCAUAAUCAAUGUAAUUGUCUUUAACACAAUCUCUCCAAUAAAUGUUCACCCAUUUACUUGAACGGUCUUUCUCCCGGCCUCCCCAUUAUAAUGAGAGAUUAAAUGAAUUACAGCACAAAUGUGAUGAGGAAUAUGUUGUGACUGCAGGAAAAAAAGAUGGGGGAAUCAUUUAUUACACUGGUAACAGUAGAGAGGGCAUAACCACCCAUUUAAAUUGGUUGCAGAAAAUAAAGAGUGUGAAUGUUUUGUUCCAAGGUGGUCUAGAUUUUUUCACAGCUGGUGGAAUGUGCUCAUUCUUCAGUAGAUUGGUAUCUAGGCAUCAUGAUUACAGAUAUAUAUUCUUGGAGAAGUAUGGGCAGGGAUUAGCUAAGGCAAGAGUGGGUAACCUGUGGCCCUCCAAUUGUCGGAGUACAGCUCCUGUUUGAGACCAUUGGCCAUGCUGGUGGGGGCUGAUGGGAAAUGAAGUCCAACAGCGCCUGGAGGGCUCAGGUUCCUGAUCCCGCUAAAGACUCAAAAGCUGGGAGAUGGAGUUUCAUUGUUUACAAGAAAGAGGAGGUGAUGGAUGGAUUUAUAUAGCCUGCCUUUCUGUGCUUGCUUUAUAGCAAAGUAGCCUUGUGUUUCUGCUAUCUCACAACUACAACUAUUCAACAGAAUUACAGAUUCAGACAUAAAUUUAACAAACAGAUGCAGUUACGACAUAUUAAAAAAUAACCAGCCCAAUGAUACAAGCAGACUGCUAGUGGGGGACAUGGAAAAAGCAAGGGUUUUUUUUCCUAAGUAGGAAGGAAGCCUCAUUUAUUUUGAGGGAAUUACUCUUGAGUCAAACAUGCCAAAGCCAGCCACUUAAGUUUUAUUCUGUAAAGGCAGCACGCUUGGGGAGUGAAUGAAAUAAUUUGGAUAAGGAGGAAAGUGCUUAAACAAACAUAGCCUAGUAUCCACCUCUGUCCAGGGUCGGGCUAGCAGUAAUGAACCACUCCUGCUUUUUCUGCUGCUCUCAGAUGGCCCCCUCCCAAGUCCCAGAUGAGGAUGGUCAGCAUUUCUUCCUCUAACCAGCCUUUCUCAACCUGUGGGUCCCCA
Non-coding RNA from Podarcis lilfordi (Lilford's wall lizard), 4249 nucleotides. The record is from the annotation of a GenBank genome assembly. NCBI's taxonomy places the organism in Eukaryota, Metazoa, Chordata, Lepidosauria, Squamata, Lacertidae.